GAUGAACGCUGGCGGCGUGCCUAAUACAUGCAAGUCGAGCGAACGGACGAUAAGCUUGCUUCUCUGAUGUUAGCGGCGGACGGGUGAGUAACACGUGGAUAACCUACCUAUAAGACUGGGAUAACUUCGUGAAACCGGAGCUAAUACUGGAUAAUAUUUUGAACCGCAUGGUUCAAAAGUGAAUGACGGUCUUGGUGUCACUUAUAGAUGGAUUCGCGCUGCAUUAGCUAGUUGGUAAGGUAACGGCUCACCAAGGCAACGAUGCAUAGCCGACCUGAGAGGAUGAUCGGCCACACUGGAACUGAGACACGGUCCAGACUCCUACGGGAGGCAGCAGUAGGGAAUAUUGCACAAUGGGCGAAAGCCUGACGCAGCAAUGCCGCGUGAGUGAUGAAGGCCUUCGGAUCGUAAAGCCCUUUUAUUAGGAAAGAAAAGAAGUAUAAGUAACUCUCCAUGUUCUGACGGUACCUAAACAGAAAGCAACGGCUAACUACGUG
RNAcentral lists this ribosomal RNA (497 nucleotides) under uncultured bacterium. RNAcentral describes it as "partial 16S ribosomal RNA". It matches the Rfam family "Bacterial small subunit ribosomal RNA", at positions 28 to 507 of the family's 1533-position model. The record is from RNAcentral.